UAGGGAAUCUUCGGCAAUGGACGGAAGUCUGACCGAGCAACGCCGCGUGAGUGAAGAAGGUUUUCGGAUCGUAAAGCUCUGUUGUAAGAGAAGAACGAGUGUGAGAGUGGAAAGUUCACACUGUGACGGUAUCUUACCAGAAAGGGACGGCUAACUACGUGCCAGCAGCCGCGGUAAUACGUAGGUCCCGAGCGUUGUCCGGAUUUAUUGGGCGUAAAGCGAGCGCAGGCGGUUAGAUAAGUCUGAAGUUAAAGGCUGUGGCUUAACCAUAGUAGGCUUUGGAAACUGUUUAACUUGAGUGCAAGAGGGGAGAGUGGAAUUCCAUGUGUAGCGGUGAAAUGCGUAGAUAUAUGGAGGAACACCGGUGGCGAAAGCGGCUCUCUGGCUUGUAACUGACGCUGAGGCUCGAAAGCGUGGGGAGCGGGAUUAGAUACCCUGGUAGUCCACGCUGUAAACGAUGAGUGCUAGGUGUUAGACCCUUUCCGGGGUUUAGUGCCGUAGCUAACGCAUUAAGCACUCCGCCUGGGGAGUACGACCGCAAGGUUG
RNAcentral lists this ribosomal RNA (546 nucleotides) under uncultured bacterium. RNAcentral's name for it is "bacterial SSU rRNA". It matches the Rfam family "Bacterial small subunit ribosomal RNA", at positions 355 to 896 of the family's 1533-position model. The record is from RNAcentral.